This 253-nucleotide ribosomal RNA is filed under the name uncultured bacterium. RNAcentral describes it as "partial 16S ribosomal RNA". It matches the Rfam family "Bacterial small subunit ribosomal RNA", at positions 524 to 776 of the family's 1533-position model. The record is from RNAcentral.
UACGAAGGGGGCUAGCGUUGCUCGGAAUUACUGGGCGUAAAGCGCACGUAGGCGGCUUUCUAAGUCGGGGGUGAAAUCCUGGAGCUCAACUCCAGAACUGCCUUCGAUACUGGAGAGCUCGAGUCCGGGAGAGGUGAGUGGAACUGCGAGUGUAGAGGUGAAAUUCGUAGAUAUUCGCAAGAACACCCGUGGCUAAGGCGGCUCUCUAGUACGGUACUGACGCUGAGACGCGAAAGCGUGGGGAGCGAACAGG